GAUGAACGCUGGCGGCGUGCCUAAUACAUGCAAGUCGAGCGAACGGACGAGGAGCUUGCUUCUUUGAUGUUAGCGGCGGACGGGUGAGUAACACGUGGAUAACCUACCUAUAAGACUGGGAUAACUUCGGGAAACCGGAGCUAAUACCGGAUAAUAUUUUGAACCGCAUGGUUCGAUAGUGAAAGAUGGCUUUGCUGUCACUUAUAGAUGGAUCUGCGCUGCAUUAGCUAGUUGGUAAGGUAACGGCUUACCAAGGCAACGAUGCAUAGCCGACCUGAGAGGGUGAUCGGCCACACUGGAACUGAGACACGGUCCAGACUCCUACGGGAGGCAGCAGUAGGGAAUCUUCCGCAAUGGGCGAAAGCCUGACGGAGCAACGCCGCGUGAGUGAUGAAGGUCUUCGGAUCGUAAAACUCUGUUAUUAGGGAAGAACAAAUGUGUAAGUAACUGUGCACAUCUUGACGGUACCUAAUCAGAAAGCCACGGCUAACUACGUG
Molecule: ribosomal RNA, 497 nt
Filed under: uncultured bacterium
Lineage: Bacteria
Description: partial 16S ribosomal RNA
Rfam family: Bacterial small subunit ribosomal RNA
Source: RNAcentral